AUUGAACGCUGGCGGCAGGCCUAACACAUGCAAGUCGAGCGGUAACACAGAGAGCUUGCUCUCAGGUGACGAGCGGCGGACGGGUGAGUAAUGUCUGGGGAACUGCCUGAUGGAGGGGGAUAACUACUGGAAACGGUAGCUAAUACCGCAUAAUGUCGCAAGACCAAAGAGGGGGACCUUAGGGCCUCUUGCCAUCGGAUGUGCCCAGAUGGGAUUAG
This 218-nucleotide ribosomal RNA is filed under the name uncultured bacterium. Its description in RNAcentral is "partial 16S ribosomal RNA". It matches the Rfam family "Bacterial small subunit ribosomal RNA", at positions 30 to 244 of the family's 1533-position model. The record is from RNAcentral.